AUAUCCAUUAUGGAAAAUUCAACAUUAAUAUUAUAAUAUUUAUUUAUAAAUAUUAUAAAAAUAGUGUGCAAUUUUUCCAUAUAAGGACAUUGUAAUCUGUUAAUGUAAUAAAUAUUUAUCAUAAGAUUCAAUAAAUAAAAGUUUAUUCAAAUUAGUUAUUUUCCGAUUUCUAACAUAGAAUAAAUUUAAUUGAAUUUGAUAAAUCAUUGACAGAUUUAUUUAUAUAUAGUGCUUAAAUUCUUAAUUGAAUUUUACAAUAAUUUAUAAAUGUAUUUUCAUUUAUUUAUUUAUUGUAUGUACUUAUAUGAUUAACAAUGCUAUAGAUUCAGGAUACCUUCGGGACCCGUCUUGAAACACGGACCAAGGAGUCUAACAUAUGUGCAAGUCAUUGGGUAUUUUUAAUAAAACCCAAAGGCAUAAUUAACUUAACUGUUUUUAAUAUGGGAUUAAUUUAUAUUUUAUUAUGAAAUAUUAAUUCAAUCCCGGGGCGUUCUAUAUAGUUAUGUAUAAUAAUAUUUAUAUUAUUUAUGCCUCUAACUAGAGCGUACCUUGAGCAUAUAUGCUGUGACC
RNAcentral lists this ribosomal RNA (570 nucleotides) under Merodon sp. so LSZ-2019. RNAcentral describes it as "partial large subunit ribosomal RNA". The record is from RNAcentral. Lineage: Eukaryota; Metazoa; Arthropoda; Insecta; Diptera; Syrphidae. RNAcentral also lists the same sequence under 1 other name.